AACGAACGCUGGCGGCAGGCCUAACACAUGCAAGUCGAGCGAACCCUUCGGGGUUAGCGGCGGACGGGUGAGUAACGCGUGGGAAUAUGCCCUUUGCUACGGAAUAGCCCCGGGAAACUGGGAGUAAUACCGUAUACGCCCUUUGGGGGAAAGAUUUAUCGGCAAAGGAUUAGCCCGCGUUGGAUUAGGUAGUUGGUGGGGUAAUGGCCUACCAAGCCGACGAUCCAUAGCUGGUUUGAGAGGAUGAUCAGCCACACUGGGACUGAGACACGGCCCAGACUCCUACGGGAGGCAGCAGUGGGGAAUCUUAGACAAUGGGGGCGAACCCUGAUCUAGCCAUGCCGCGUGAGUGAUGAAGGCCCUAGGGUUGUAAAGCUCUUUCAGCUGGGAAGAUAAUGACGGUACCAGCAGAAGAAGCCCCGGCUAACUCCGUG
This 434-nucleotide ribosomal RNA is filed under the name uncultured bacterium. Its description in RNAcentral is "bacterial SSU rRNA". It matches the Rfam family "Bacterial small subunit ribosomal RNA", at positions 29 to 507 of the family's 1533-position model. The record is from RNAcentral.